RNAcentral lists this long non-coding RNA (1309 nucleotides) under Piliocolobus tephrosceles (Ugandan red Colobus). RNAcentral describes it as "lncRNA (ENSPTEG00000007321.1)". Lineage: Eukaryota; Metazoa; Chordata; Mammalia; Primates; Cercopithecidae. The record is from RNAcentral.
AUGUGUUUUGAGUGGUGGACACACAUGCGCAGGAACUGAAAAUUAUGUAGGUUUAGCCGUUACAGGUAAAAUAAAAAAAAAAAAAAAAAAUGAUGAUGAUGGUGGUGAUGAUGGUGAUGAUGAUGAUGAUGUUGUGAGUCGUAAGAGUAGUGUCGCAUAUUGUGAGAAUAAUGUCGUGAGUAGCAAAAAGAAUGUAUCAUUUGACGAGACUAUACAAGAAUAUCUAAAGUUUCAAGAAUUAAAAAAGAGUUACUCAUUUUUACCAAAGGGUAAUAAAAACAUAAAAGCUGGAGAUGUGAUAAUAACAACUAAAAUAUUUGGGUUUGGUUUUAUUAUGGCAGCACAUAUAUGUAAAGAGGCCAAGGGUAGGUGGGUAUAUAAAUCUCUGGAUGAAAUGUUAUUAUCAAAUAAAAAAAGUGGAUUAUAUUUUUUAGCUAACAAUGCAAAGGCCUGUACAGAUGUAACAGGAUUUGGUAUUUUAGGCCAUUUAAACGAAAUGAUUAAGUGUUCUAGGAAGGAGUUUUAUUUAGCGGCCACCUCACCCGCUACAGACACACUCGAUACAGAUUCUGCUGACACCGAAACUAUUGCUACUGACAUUGCUUCUACAGACGUUGCUUCUACAGACGUUGCUUCUACAGACAUUGCUUCUACAGACAUUACUUCUACAGACAAUACUUCUACAGACAUUGCUUCUACAGACAUUACUUCUACAGACAAUACUUCUACUAAUAUUGGGGCUACUAACACUGGAGCUACCAACACUGGAGCUACUAAUGCUGAUACUGAUAAUGGUGGUACUACCAAAUGUAGUCCCUUAUCAACGCAGCAAGAAAAACACAUAAAUGAACGUGUCGAACAAACACAUGAAUCUAAUAGAUAUUUAAAACUUAUAGGUGCAAAAAUAAAACUGAAGGAUAUACAAAUAAUAGAUGGAGUUAAAGAAUGUAUGGAAAAAAAUAUCUAUUCAUCAAUGUAUAAAAAAAACCAUUAUUUAUGUAAUAAUAUAAUUAAUUUAAAUGAAGCAAUGACACAUGAUAAAUAUGGUAUUUUAUUUGACCCUCAAACAAGUGGUGGUUUGAUGGCAAUAGUCGAAAAAGAAAAAGCUAAUAAAAUGGUAAACGAUUUAAUAAACAUGGGAUAUAAACAUUCUGCAAUUAUUGGAGAAAUAAUCAAUGUACAAUAUAACAAAUUUAAAAAUUUAACCAUUGGUAAAGUGUCAUUAGAUGAUUAUUUAGACAUGACUGAUUCAAUAUAUGUCGAAUGUUGACACCUGUGUCUUGAUGAUAUGUGUAAUGUUUCCAUAGAC